CGGAUGAAGAGAGCUUGCUCUCUGAUUCAGCGGCGGACGGGUGAGUAAUGCCUAGGAAUCUGCCUGAUAGUGGGGGACAACGUUUCGAAAGGAACGCUAAUACCGCAUACGUCCUACGGGAGAAAGCAGGGGACCUUCGGGCCUUGCGCUAUCAGAUGAGCCUAGGUCGGAUUAGCUAGUUGGUGAGGUAACGGCUCACCAAGGCGACGAUCCGUAACUGGUCUGAGAGGAUGAUCAGUCACACUGGAACUGAGACACGGUCCAGACUCCUACGGGAGGCAGCAGUGGGGAAUAUUGGACAAUGGGCGAAAGCCUGAUCCAGCCAUGCCGCGUGUGUGAAGAAGGUCUUCGGAUUGUAAAGCACUUUAAGUUGGGAGGAAGGGCAUUAACCUAAUACGUUAGUGUUUUGACGUUACCGACAGAAUAAGCACCGGCUAACUUCGUGCCAGCAGCCGCGGUAAUACGAAGGGUGCAAGCGUUAAUCGGAAUUACUGGGCGUAAAGCGCGCGUAGGUGGUUUGUUAAGUUGAAUGUGAAAGCCCCGGGCUCAACCUGGGAACUGCAUCCAAAACUGGCAAGCUAGAGUAUGGCAGAGGGUGGU
RNAcentral lists this ribosomal RNA (600 nucleotides) under bacterium Ri.S13B. Its description in RNAcentral is "bacterial SSU rRNA". It matches the Rfam family "Bacterial small subunit ribosomal RNA", at positions 67 to 662 of the family's 1533-position model. The record is from RNAcentral.